GACGAACGCUGGCGGCGUGCUUAACACAUGCAAGUCGAGCGGUAAGGCCCUUUCGGGGGUACACGAGCGGCGAACGGGUGAGUAACACGUGGGUGACCUGCCCUUAGCUCUGGGAUAAGCCUGGGAAACUAGGGUCUAAUACCGGAUAUGACUCCAUGACGCAUGUUGUGGGGUGGAAAGCCUUGUGCGGCUAGGGAUGGGGCCCGCGGCCUAUCAGCUUGUUGGUGGGGUGAUGGCCACCAAGGCGACGACGGGUAGCCGGCCUGAGAGGGCGACCGGCCACACUGGGACUGAGACACGGCCCAGACUCCUACGGGAGGC
RNAcentral lists this ribosomal RNA (321 nucleotides) under uncultured bacterium. RNAcentral's name for it is "bacterial SSU rRNA". It matches the Rfam family "Bacterial small subunit ribosomal RNA", at positions 28 to 349 of the family's 1533-position model. The record is from RNAcentral.